RNAcentral lists this ribosomal RNA (539 nucleotides) under uncultured Variovorax sp. RNAcentral describes it as "bacterial SSU rRNA". It matches the Rfam family "Bacterial small subunit ribosomal RNA", at positions 359 to 895 of the family's 1533-position model. Lineage: Bacteria; Pseudomonadati; Pseudomonadota; Betaproteobacteria; Burkholderiales; Comamonadaceae. The record is from RNAcentral.
CAGGUAGAAAUGAGCGCAGCCUGAUCCAGCCAUGCCGCGUGCAGGAUGAAGGCCUUCGGGUUGUAAACUGCUUUUGUACGGAACGAAACGGCCUUUUCUAAUAAAGAGGGCUAAUGACGGUACCGUAAGAAUAAGCACCGGCUAACUACGUGCCAGCAGCCGCGGUAAUACGUAGGGUGCAAGCGUUAAUCGGAAUUACUGGGCGUAAAGCGUGCGCAGGCGGUAAUGUAAGACAGUUGUGAAAUCCCCGGGCUCAACCUGGGAACUGCAUCUGUGACUGCAUUGCUGGAGUACGGCAGAGGGGGAUGGAAUUCCGCGUGUAGCAGUGAAAUGCGUAGAUAUGCGGAGGAACACCGAUGGCGAAGGCAAUCCCCUGGGCCUGUACUGACGCUCAUGCACGAAAGCGUGGGGAGCAAACAGGAUUAGAUACCCUGGUAGUCCACGCCCUAAACGAUGUCAACUGGUUGUUGGGAAUUCACUUUCUCAGUAACGAAGCUAACGCGUGAAGUUGACCGCCUGGGGAGUACGGCCGCAAGGUU